This 425-nucleotide ribosomal RNA is filed under the name uncultured bacterium. RNAcentral's name for it is "partial 16S ribosomal RNA". It matches the Rfam family "Bacterial small subunit ribosomal RNA", at positions 354 to 796 of the family's 1533-position model. The record is from RNAcentral.
GUGGGGAAUAUUGGACAAUGGGCGCAAGCCUGAUCCAGCCAUGCCGCGUGAGUGAUGAAGGCCUUAGGGUUGUAAAGCUCUUUCAGUGGGGACGAUAAUGACGGUACCCACAGAAGAAGCCCCGGCUAACUUCGUGCCAGCAGCCGCGGUAAUACGAAGGGGGCUAGCGUUGUUCGGAUUUACUGGGCGUAAAGCGCACGUAGGCGGAUCGUUAAGUCGGGGGUGAAAUCCUGGAGCUCAACUCCAGAACUGCCUUCGAUACUGGCGAUCUUGAGUCCGGAAGAGGUGAGUGGAACUCCUAGUGUAGAGGUGGAAUUCGUAGAUAUUAGGAAGAACACCAGUGGCGAAGGCGGCUCACCGGUCCGGUACUGACGCUGAGGUGCGAAAGCGUGGGGAGCAAACAGGAUUAGAUACCCGUGUAGUCC